This 267-nucleotide ribosomal RNA is filed under the name uncultured soil bacterium. RNAcentral's name for it is "partial 16S ribosomal RNA". It matches the Rfam family "Bacterial small subunit ribosomal RNA", at positions 26 to 281 of the family's 1533-position model. The record is from RNAcentral.
AGAAUCAACGCUGGCGGCGUGCCUAACACAUGCAAGUCGAACGCGAAAGUCCCGCAAGGGGCAAGUAGAGUGGCGAACGGGUGAGUAAUACGUGGGUGACCUACCUCUGCGUGGGGGAUAACGUCUCGAAAGGGACGCUAAUACCGCAUGACAUCCUGCCUUUUGAUAGGCGGAGAUCAAAGCCGGGGACCGCAAGGCCUGGCGCGUGAUGAGGGCCCACGUCCGAUUAGCUAGUUGGUGGGGUAAUGGCCUACCAAGGCGACGAUC